This 295-nucleotide small RNA is filed under the name Verrucomicrobiota bacterium. RNAcentral describes it as "Verrucomicrobia bacterium 5_ureB_sRNA". It matches the Rfam family "5' ureB small RNA". Lineage: Bacteria; Pseudomonadati; Verrucomicrobiota. The record is from RNAcentral.
CUUCGAAGGCCAGUUGAGGACAAAUGAAAUGAAUGUGGGUAUCGAUACCGCCGGCCGUAAGGAUCAAACCCUCCCCCGCAAUCACCUCGGUCGUUACUCCGCAGAUCAUGCCUGGGGAGACGCCGGCCAUCACGUCGGGAUUGCCCGCUUUGCCGAUCCCGGCGAUCAGCCCAUCCUUGAUGCCGACAUCGGCCUUAUAGAUGCCCGUGUAAUCGACAAUCAGCGCAUUGGUGAUCAGACAGUCCAACGCCUCGGCCUGGCCGACUCCGGCUGCCUGCCCGCUGCCUUCCCGGAG